Molecule: ribosomal RNA, 478 nt
Filed under: Yamadazyma michaelii
Lineage: Eukaryota; Fungi; Ascomycota; Pichiomycetes; Serinales; Debaryomycetaceae
Description: [Candida] michaelii partial 28S ribosomal RNA
Rfam family: Eukaryotic large subunit ribosomal RNA
Source: RNAcentral
CGGUGUCCGAGUUGUAAUUUGAAGAAGGUAUCUUUGGUUUUGGCUCUUGUCUAUGUUCCUUGGAACAGGACGUCACAGAGGGUGAGAAUCCCGUGCGAUGAGAUGCCCAAUUCCAUGUAAAGUUCCUUCGACGAGUCGAGUUGUUUGGGAAUGCAGCUCUAAGUGGGUGGUAAAUUCCAUCUAAAGCUAAAUAUUGGCGAGAGACCGAUAGCGAACAAGUACUGUGAAGGAAAGAUGAAAAGAACUUUGAAAAGAGAGUGAAAAAGUACGUGAAAUUGUUGAAAGGGAAGGGCUUGAGAUCAGACUUGGAAUUUUCCAGUAAUGGAGCUUUCCGGGCCAGCAUCAGUUUGGAUGGCAGGAUAAUUGCGUAGAAAAGUAGCUCUACUUCGGUGGAGUGUUAUAGUCUGCGUCGAUACUGCCUGUCUAGACUGAGGACUGCGUCUUUGACUAGGAUGCUGGCAUAAUGAUCUUAAGCCGC